AGAGUUUGAUCCUGGCUCAGAACGAACGCUGGCGGCAUGCCUAACACAUGCAAGUCGAACGAUGCUUUCGGGCAUAGUGGCGCACGGGUGCGUAACGCGUGGGAAUCUGCCCCUUGGUUCGGAAUAACAGUUAGAAAUGACUGCUAAUACCGGAUGACGACGUAAGUCCAAAGAUUUAUCGCCGAGGGAUGAGCCCGCGUAGGAUUAGCUAGUUGGUGAGGUAAUGGCUCACCAAGGCGACGAUCCUUAGCUGGUCUGAGAGGAUGAUCAGCCACACUGGGACUGAGACACGGCCCAGACUCCUACGGGAGGCAGCAGUGGGGAAUAUUGGACAAUGGGCGCAAGCCUGAUCCAGCAAUGCCGCGUGAGUGAUGAAGGCCUUAGGGUUGUAAAGCUCUUUUACCAGGGAUGAUAAUGACAGUACCUGGAGAAUAAGCUCCGGCUAACUCCGUGCCAGCAGCCGCGGUAAU
Molecule: ribosomal RNA, 470 nt
Filed under: uncultured bacterium
Lineage: Bacteria
Description: bacterial SSU rRNA
Rfam family: Bacterial small subunit ribosomal RNA
Source: RNAcentral